CCUACGGGAGGCAGCAGUGGGGAAUAUUGGACAAUGGGCGCAAGCCUGAUCCAGCCAUGCCGCGUGAGUGAUGAAGGCCCUAGGGUUGUAAAGCUCUUUUGUACGGGAAGAUAAUGACGGUACCGUAAGAAUAAGCCCCGGCUAACUUCGUGCCAGCAGCCGCGGUAAU
RNAcentral lists this ribosomal RNA (169 nucleotides) under uncultured bacterium. Its description in RNAcentral is "partial 16S ribosomal RNA". It matches the Rfam family "Bacterial small subunit ribosomal RNA", at positions 338 to 524 of the family's 1533-position model. The record is from RNAcentral.